RNAcentral lists this ribosomal RNA (414 nucleotides) under uncultured bacterium. Its description in RNAcentral is "bacterial SSU rRNA". It matches the Rfam family "Bacterial small subunit ribosomal RNA", at positions 945 to 1359 of the family's 1533-position model. The record is from RNAcentral.
UUUAAUUCGAUGAUACGCGAGGAACCUUACCUAGGCUAGAAUGCGCGUGACCGGCUCAGAGAUGAGCCUUUCCUUCGGGACACAAAGCAAGGUGCUGCAUGGCCGUCGUCAGCUCGUGCCGUAAGGUGUUGGGUUAAGUCCCGCAACGAGCGCAACCCCUAUGGUUAGUUGCCAGCACGUAAUGGUGGGAACUCUAGCCAGACUGCCUGCGCAAGCAGUGAGGAAGGCGGGGACGACGUCAGGUCAUCAUGGCCCUUACGCCUAGGGCGACACACGUGCUACAAUGGACGGUACAGCGGGUAGCUACCAGGCGACUGGAUGCCAAUCUCGAAAAGCCGUUCUCAGUUCGGAUUGGAGUCUGCAACUCGACUCCAUGAAGCUGGAAUCACUAGUAAUCGCGCAUCAGCCAUGGCG